Prunus mume (Japanese apricot) is the source of this 577-nucleotide non-coding RNA. The record is from RefSeq and is a predicted model, not a curated record. Lineage: Eukaryota; Viridiplantae; Streptophyta; Magnoliopsida; Rosales; Rosaceae.
AUACAGCAUAUUGGCUGUGUACAUUCAAGAACGAGUUUGAUGGGUUGAUCACAUUCAAGGCUUACACGCUUAUCAAGACUAUAAUGGAAAUUGGGGUGUUUGCUAGAUCAAGAUGAGCUUCUUGUAUUGCGUUUCUACUUUGUUGCUGAAAAAAUCAAGGGAGUUUUACGGCAAUGUUUUGACGGUUUUUCUUGGUUACGGAAGAUUAAGAAGGGAACUUGUAUGGCAAUGCACAGGCCAGUUACUUUGAAUAUCUGAUUGAGAGCAAGAAGCAACAUGUUCUGAAAUUUGCACAUCAGAUGCGAAGGGGUACAUUCAGAACAGAUCAUGCAGUGCUGAUGAAGCUGAAAGCACUCGUGCACGCCUUUUAAAUGCAAAAAACAUGGACAAAGUUUGGCUCCUGUGAUGAUCCUUGUCCAGUGAACACAAACAGUUUCUAUUUUUUCAAAACAGGUGGCUCUUUGAGCCCUGUUUGAUCUGCUGGUUACAACGAGAUCAGCCAUGCUCUAUUUAGCACUGCUUUAGUCUGCAGUUGGCUUCCCAGUUCUUGUGUUAUUUGCGGGGUUUUGGUUCUAGU